NUGUUUUCUUUUCUUUUUUUCCUUUUUUUUUUUCAAAUAUACGAAAUUAAUCACGUCAUACGAUCGAAUCGAACGAAGAUGUCGAAUUCAAACGGAACCCGUUCAUUUUUUAUUAUCAUUUGUUGUACGCGGAUUUAUCGUGUCGAGCCUAUCACGAAGAUGGCCGCUCGAUCUACGCUUUCGACCAUGUCGAGCCUAUCGCGAAAAUGGCCGCACGGUUUAUGUUUUCGACAAUGUCGAGCCUAUCACGAAGAUGGCUGCACGGUUUUCGUAACAAGAUAAAUGGUGCUCGAUCACCCAUUUUGACCAGUCGAGCCUAUCACGAAGAUGGCCGCACGGUUUACGUAGUAAAAUAUUCGGUGUUCGUUCGACCAUGUCGAGCCUAUCACGAAGAUGGCCGCACGGUUAGAGAUUAGCGAUGCAUACGUACGGCGAAAAUGACGACUUGAUGUAAAAUUUGAUCGGUUCGAAACCUAUCACGAAGAUGGUCGGGUUGAUCAAACCAACAAAAAGUCGCACUUGCACUAUUCGUAUGCAUGCAUUUCUCUUGUUGUCGUCGGGGAAGUCGCCAUGAUCGCCGUCGUCAUCGUCGUCGUCGGAAUCGUCGUAGCCGUCGCCGUCGUGAGUGAAAGAG
RNAcentral lists this long non-coding RNA (634 nucleotides) under Ananas comosus (pineapple). Its description in RNAcentral is "long non-coding RNA (ACOM_LNC037000)". The record is from RNAcentral. Lineage: Eukaryota; Viridiplantae; Streptophyta; Magnoliopsida; Poales; Bromeliaceae.